This 301-nucleotide ribosomal RNA is filed under the name uncultured bacterium. RNAcentral's name for it is "partial 16S ribosomal RNA". It matches the Rfam family "Bacterial small subunit ribosomal RNA", at positions 509 to 809 of the family's 1533-position model. The record is from RNAcentral.
CAGUCGCCGCGGGAAUACAGAGGGUGCGAGCGUUAAUCGGAUUUACUGGGCGUAAAGCGUGCGUAGGCGGCUUCUUAAGUCGGAUGUGAAAUCCCUGAGCUUAACUUAGGAAUUGCAUUCGAUACUGGGAAGCUAGAGUAUGGGAGAGGAUGGUAGAAUUCCAGGUGUAGCGGUGAAAUGCGUAGAGAUCUGGAGGAAUACCGAUGGCGAAGGCAGACAUCUGGCCUAAUACUGACGCUGAGGUACGAAAGCAUGGGGAGCAAACAGGAUUAGAGACCCCCGUAGUCCCUGUCUCUUAUAA